Molecule: long non-coding RNA, 1414 nt
Filed under: Equus asinus (donkey)
Lineage: Eukaryota; Metazoa; Chordata; Mammalia; Perissodactyla; Equidae
Description: lncRNA (ENSEASG00005033548.1)
Source: RNAcentral
GGCGCCGGCAGGCGGAGCAGUGGGAGGAGCCUGGGCGAGGGCUGGAGGACCCGGGUGCGAACCGGUGAUACGAGAGGCAGGGCAAGGUGUCAACAUGGAAGAGCCGGGAUGGGAAGACAUCUACUUUUAUAUUAACAAUUUAGCGAACCACAUCUGUUGAGCCUCUGUGAGACCUCAGCGACUCUAUUGAAUAAUAAGCUGGACAGCAGUUUAGUGCUUAGAGCUCAGAGUAUAGCCCGUGUGGGGCUACAGGGAUCAAGAAGAACUUAAGAAUCUUUACAUUCACUUGAAAAUGCCUGCUGAAUUUCUGGAUCUUGAGUUAAGGGUCUUUUUGGGGCCAACUCUCACUGCUGAAAAUCCUGCGUAUGAUGCUGCCACGAAGAAUGAGUUCUCCUUCUGAUCUUUCUCACGAAGCUAAUCUCAUUGGGUCUGCUUGUGAAAAGAAUGCAGACACAGCAGCACAUACUAAGCUGAGGGCUCCCCUCCAUCCUCUGGUUUCAAACACAUGUGGCCCACCACGGCAGGCACCAGAUGAGCUAACCCUAAAUGAAGAAAACUGCUGAGAGAAGGAGCAAGUGUACUUGGUGUGCAGGCCAAGCUCAAUUUUCUUCACCAUUUUCCUGAGAGAGGCACCGUAACCAGUCCUGUAUUUGUCAACGAUUCGGAUCUUCUCGAUCCGUUCAGCCAUCUCUCUGCAAGCUGCCUCUCAGCCCAGAGAGGAAGCCACUCCCUUUAUUCUAAAGUCAACCAAUCAUCGUACAAAGUGACUGCAUCCCAGGAGAUUUGGCAAUUGAGGUCUUAAACUGGUUAGACUCAACCUGGCUUCUCUUUAUCACCAUCCAUUGGGUAAGGGCCUCAUGAGGACGAUGAUAGACGUUUUCUUUGCACAUCUGAGUGAGACAGACUCUUAAGAUGGGUCCCAAUUAUCUCUGUUUCCUCGUAUUCAUUCCCGUAUGGAAUCUCCUCUUCUCUGAGUGUGGGAGAGACCUGUGACUUGCUUCUAAACAAGAGAAUAUGGCAAAGGUGAUGUCACUUCUGUGAUCAUGUUACAUAGAUUGUAACUUCCGUCUUGCUAGCAGACUCUCUGAUGAUUCUCUCCCUUUGCUGGCUUUGAUGAAAUAACCCACCAUACGGAGAGGCCCACGUGGCAAGGAACUGAAGCAGGCCUCCAGCUGACAGCAGCAAGGAAGAAAGGUCCUUAGUCAGAUAACCCACAAUGAACCGAAUCCUGCCAACAACCAUAUGAACUUGGAAGUGGAUCCUUCCCCAUUCGAGCCUCAGAUGAGACCCCAGCCCUGGUCAACAUCUUGACUGCAGUCUUGUGAGAGCUCCUGAUAAAGAGGACUCACUAAGCCAUGCCCAGACUCCUGACCCAUGAAAUGGGGAGAUAAUAAAUGUGUGCUGUUUCAAGUUG